Regulatory RNA element from Corynebacterium vitaeruminis DSM 20294, 134 nucleotides. It matches the Rfam family "atpB RNA". The record is from Rfam. NCBI's taxonomy places the organism in Bacteria, Bacillati, Actinomycetota, Actinomycetes, Mycobacteriales, Corynebacteriaceae.
CUGUGAAGGUCGUGCUGAUGUGCGACGGAAUCCACGAUUUUCGCAGAGAGUUUUUUUUAGACGUCCAUCGCACCGCAACGGCUCCGAAAGAGUCGUGCGGCCCGAACACGGGAGAGAACGCUGAGCGUUACAUU